Molecule: transfer RNA, 70 nt
Filed under: Puniceispirillum sp. (SeqCode)
Lineage: Bacteria; Pseudomonadati; Pseudomonadota; Alphaproteobacteria; Puniceispirillales (SeqCode); Puniceispirillaceae (SeqCode)
Description: tRNA-Arg
Rfam family: tRNA
About the family: Transfer RNA (tRNA) molecules are approximately 80 nucleotides in length. Their secondary structure includes four short double-helical elements and three loops (D, anti-codon, and T loops). Further hydrogen bonds mediate the characteristic L-shaped molecular structure. tRNAs have two regions of fundamental functional importance: the anti-codon, which is responsible for specific mRNA codon recognition, and the 3' end, to which the tRNAs corresponding amino acid is attached (by aminoacyl-tRNA synthetases). tRNAs cope with the degeneracy of the genetic code in two manners: having more than one tRNA (with a specific anti-codon) for a particular amino acid; and 'wobble' base-pairing, i.e. permitting non-standard base-pairing at the 3rd anti-codon position.
Source: RNAcentral
AGCAGAUGAACAGCACUGCGCUGCCCUCCGAAGGCAGAGGUCACAAGUUCGAAUCUUGUCGGGUACACCA